GGGCGCGGCAGUCGGACUACGGGAGAUGAGUUUCGUAGUCGAGAGGGAAACAGCCCAGACCCACAGCUAAGGUCCUCGAAUGCAGGCUCAGUGGCAAACGAGGUGGGAGUGUACAGACAGCCAGGAGGUUGGCUCAGAAGCAGCCACCCUUUAAAGAGUGCGUAAUAGCUCACUGGUCAAACGCUCCUGCGCGGAUAAUGUAACGGGGCUAAGCCUGCUACCGAAGCUUGGGGUGCCCGCGAGGGCGCAGUAGGGGAGCGUUCUGGGAGCGGAGAAGCACGUCUGGCAAGGGCGUGUGGAGCGACCAGAAGUGAGAAUGCUGGCAUGAGUAGCGAGAAACAUGUGAGAACCAUGUUCGCCGGAAGUCUAAGGGUUCCGACGGAAGGUCAGUCCGCGUCGGGUUAGUCGGGCCUAAGCCGAGGCUGAGAAGCGUAGGCGAUGGACAACAGGUGAAUAAUCCUGUACCACCUGGAGGGAGCGAAGGAGGGACGCCGCGGGGUAGCUCAGCCGCCGCAGUGGAUGGCGGUGCGAAGCGAGAUAGCCGAUGAAGGGGUAGGGAAAGCCGCCCUGGAGGUGAAGGCGUGAGCGCGGAGCCUACGGGCCACAAGUGAGCGAGCCAGACGGCCGAGAAAAGCUUCUAAGUGAUGAACUCCGGGUGACCGUACCGCAAACCGACACAGGUAGACGGGUAGAGGAUACCAAGGCGAACGGGAGAACCCUCGUUAAGGAACUAGGCAAAAUGGCCCCGUAACUUCGGGAGAAGGGGCGCCCCCUGCUGGGGGGCCGCAGUGAAAGGGCUCUGCCGACUGUUUAACAAAGCACAGGUCUCUGCGAACGCGUAAGCGGACGUAUAGGGGCUGACGCCUGCCCAGUGCCGGAAGGUUAAGGGGACGGGUUAGCGCAAGCGAAGCUCGGAACCGAAGCCCCGGUGAACGGCGGCCGUAACUAUAACGGUCCUAAGGUAGCGAAAUUCCUUGUCGGGUAAGUUCCGACCCGCACGAAUGGCGUAACGAGCGGAGCACUGUCUCAACGAGGGGCCCGGCGAAAUCGAAAUACGUGUGAAGAUGCGCGUUACCCGCAGCAGGACAAAAAGACCCCGUGGAGCUUUACUACAACUUGCUAUGGCGUUAGGGCUUGGCUUGUGCAGGAUAGCUGGGAGGCAGAGAAGCUGGGACGACAGUCUCGGUGGAGCCAAAGGUGAGAUACCAGCCUGGCGAAGUCUUGGCCCUAACCGUACACCGUGAACCGGGUACGGGACAGUGGCAGGCGGGUAGUUUGACUGGGGCGGUCGCCUCCGAAAGGGUAACGGAGGCGCCCAAAGGUGCCCUCAGGGUGAAUGGAAACCACCCAAAGAGUGUAAAGGCAGAAGGGCGCUUGACUGCGAGGCCUACGAGCCGAGCAGAGCCGAAAGGCGGGCUUAGUGAUCCCACGGUAC
This 1435-nucleotide ribosomal RNA is filed under the name metagenome. RNAcentral's name for it is "bacterial LSU rRNA". It matches the Rfam family "Bacterial large subunit ribosomal RNA", at positions 973 to 2429 of the family's 2925-position model. The record is from RNAcentral.